UGGGGAAUAUUGGACAAUGGGCGAAAGCCUGAUCCAGCAAUGCCGCGUGAGUGAUGAAGGCCUUAGGGUUGUAAAGCUCUUUUACCAGGGAUGAUAAUGACAGUACCUGGAGAAUAAGCUCCGGCUAACUCCGUGCCAGCAGCCGCGGUAAUACGGAGGGAGCUAGCGUUGUUCGGAAUUACUGGGCGUAAAGCGCGCGUAGGCGGUUUAUCAAGUCAGGGGUGAAAUCCCGGGGCUCAACCCCGGAACUGCCCUUGAAACUGGUUCACUAGAAUCCUGGAGAGGCGAGUGGAAUUCCGAGUGUAGAGGUGAAAUUCGUAGAUAUUCGGAAGAACACCAGUGGCGAAGGCGACUCGCUGGACAGGUAUUGACGCUGAGGUGCGAAAGCGUGGGGAGCAAACA
This 402-nucleotide ribosomal RNA is filed under the name uncultured bacterium. RNAcentral's name for it is "bacterial SSU rRNA". It matches the Rfam family "Bacterial small subunit ribosomal RNA", at positions 355 to 774 of the family's 1533-position model. The record is from RNAcentral.